RNAcentral lists this ribosomal RNA (229 nucleotides) under uncultured bacterium. RNAcentral describes it as "partial 16S ribosomal RNA". It matches the Rfam family "Bacterial small subunit ribosomal RNA", at positions 568 to 796 of the family's 1533-position model. The record is from RNAcentral.
UGCGUAGGCGGAAUAUUAAGUCAGUGGUGAAAUCCUACAGCUCAACUGUAGAACUGCCAUUGAUACUGAUAUUCUUGAGUAUAGUUGUAGUGGGCGGAAUAUGUCAUGUAGCGGUGAAAUGCUUAGAUAUGACAUAGAACACCGAUCGCGAAGGCAGCUCACUAAACUAUAACUGACGCUCAGGCACGAAAGCGUGGGGAGCAAACAGGAUUAGAUACCCUGGUAGUCC